AUUGAACGCUGGCGGCAUGCUUUACACAUGCAAGUCGGACGGCAGCAUAAAAGAGCUUGCUCUUUUGAUGGCGAGUGGCGAACGGGUGAGUAAUGCAUCGGAACGUACCGAGUAGUGGGGGAUAACUGUCCGAAAGGAUGGCUAAUACCGCAUAUUCUCUGAGGAGGAAAGCAGGGGACCUUAGGGCCUUGCGCUAUUUGAGCGGCCGAUGUCUGAUUAGCUAGUUGGUGGGGUAAGAGCCCACCAAGGCGACGAUCAGUAGCGGGUCUGAGAGGAUGAUCCGCCACACUGGGACUGAGACACGGCCCAGACUCCUACGGGAGGCAGCAGUGGGGAAUUUUGGACAAUGGGCGCAAGCCUGAUCCAGCCAUGCCGCGUGUAUGAAGAAGGCCUUCGGGUUGUAAAGUACUUUUGUCAGGGAAGAAAAGCCUGAGGAUAACACCCUCAGGUCAUGACGGUACCUGAAGAAUAAGCACCGGCUAACUACGUGCCAGCAGCCGCGGUAAUACGUAGGGUGCGAGCGUUAAUCGGAAUUACUGGGCGUAAAGCGAGCGCAGACGGUUAUUUAAGCAAGAUGUGAAAGCCCCGGGCUCAACCUGGGAACUGCGUUUUGAACUGGGUAACUAGAGUGUGUCAGGGGGGGGUAGAAUUCCACGUGUAGCAGUGAAAUGCGUAGAGAUGUGGAGGAAUACCGAUGGCGAAGGCAGCCCCCUGGGAUAACACUGACGUUCAUGCUCGAAAGCGUGGGUAGCAAACAGG
RNAcentral lists this ribosomal RNA (759 nucleotides) under uncultured Neisseriaceae bacterium. RNAcentral describes it as "bacterial SSU rRNA". It matches the Rfam family "Bacterial small subunit ribosomal RNA", at positions 28 to 776 of the family's 1533-position model. The record is from RNAcentral. Lineage: Bacteria; Pseudomonadati; Pseudomonadota; Betaproteobacteria; Neisseriales; Neisseriaceae.